CUCCGAAUGCCGUAACUCCAGAGCAUGGGAGUCGGACUGCGAAUGAUGAGAUCCGUAGUCGAGAGGGGAAACAACCCCAGACCGCCGGCUAAGGGUCCCUAACUUCAAGCUAAGUGGGAAACGAUGUGGGGAUUACUCGGACAGCCAGGAGGUUGGCUUAGAAGCAGCCACCCUUUAAAGAGUGCGUAACAGCUCACUGGUCAAGUGAUCCUGCGCGGAAAAUGUAACGGGGCUCAAGCUUGAGACCGAAGCCACGGAAUCGCCCGUAAGGGCGAUUGGUAGAGGAGCGUUCUGCACAGCGUCGAAGGCCGAUCGUAAAGGACGACUGGAGCGUGCAGAAGUGAGAAUGCCGGAAUGAGUAGCGUAAAACACGUGAGAACCGUGUUCACCGUAAGUCUAAGGUUUCCGACGCAAGGUCAAUCCGCGUUGGGUUAGUCGGGGCCUAAGCCGAGGCUGGCAAGCGUAGGCGAUGGACAACAGGUCAACAUUCCUGUACCACCGGUGAU
This 506-nucleotide ribosomal RNA is filed under the name uncultured bacterium. RNAcentral's name for it is "bacterial LSU rRNA". It matches the Rfam family "Bacterial large subunit ribosomal RNA", at positions 954 to 1454 of the family's 2925-position model. The record is from RNAcentral.